GAAUUGUCACAGCUUUAUUUUCGUGACUCAAUACAACAUAGAAAUAUGAUUUUUUUAAUAAUUCAUAUAAAGUUACUGACAAUAGUUUUUCUUUUUUUUUUUUCCAUUUUAAUGAAAAUUAUUUAACUUAGAAAUCUAUUGUGAAACCUUGUCUAGUUUUUUUGCAGUUAACAGAUAUUCCAGUGCAAAAAUAGAUCCCAUUACAGACAGCAUAAAGUGCUUGGAAUGAAGGACCAACAAUAUCGAAAAAGCACAAAAACCAGAGCUUUAUCACGAGGUGUGAGGGGGAAAAUAUACCUAAUCUUAGUAAAAUACUAACAUACUAUAAAAAGGGAUGCAACAAUUUUUAAAAGAGCAUCUAGUAACAAGGAUUCAGAUGAAUAUUUCAUUAUCAAAGUGGUUCAGUACCACACAACACAUGGCUCUUUGGAAAAAUUUUACCUGAUAUAAGAGGGGGAAAAAAAUCGACAGAAAUCACCUUGUAAAUGACUGAUAGUCAAUGAACACAUGACGUACAAUCUUCAAGAGCUGCAGAGCUCCCAGAACACUUAAAACACAGUAGUUUCAGGAUUUGUUUCUUCUUUCUUAGAUUCACAGUUAUUGACAAAAUUCCAAAGAAUCAAGAAGAAAAUAAAAAAAAAAAAUAGCAGACAUCUUUCAAGGCUUGUUUUUGGGAAGGCUUAAAAUCCACAAUCUUAAGUUUCCAGAGAGUUGACAAAAUUAAGUUUUAUAAUUUUAAGCAUAGAAUUUUAAAAAAAAAAAUCUCUUCUUCAACUGAUUUAUAAAAAUGAGUUUUGUUUAGUUAAGUUUUUAUAAUCAAUCAGAUGAAAUAUCUUACAUAACUUAUCAAGAGGGACUCCACAUGGAGAAGAAAAUACUUUUGUUUUGAAAGCUGAAAUUAUUUCUCUCAAAAAUGUUUAUUAGUUCAAUGUUCUUUUUUUAUGGUCAAAGGAGUCUGAAAAAACAAUAAUACUACUAUUCAUAGAUUUGGAUCAUUUUCAUGAUUAUAAAGACAACCAAUUGAAGUCUAUCACUUUGAAUCUCAAAAAUCUACAUUAAUAGAAACUUCUAUGCAUUAGGUAAGGAAUGUAGUCAGAACAAAAAUGUGCUGAUCUCUUAGCAAGAACUAUUGAAAAUAUAUUCAUCUUUUAAAGAGAUGAAAGGCUGUUACUCGGGAGUCAAAUUUUUUACAAACUUGUGGAUAAUCAUUCAAAUAAGCCCUCUGAUGAUUAAAAAAAAUUAAUUUUAAACAAAACUACAACCUAACCUGAAAAUUUCUGAAAUCUCUCUUUAAAAGGUUUGUUUUUAAAAUCUUUUUUAAAAAAUGGAGCUUGAUAUGAAAAAAGGCACUUCAACUGUACUACACAGUAGUUCUCUCCUAUUUUUAUGUUGUAUCCAGGCAGGCUACAUGAAGUAUUACUGAAUUGAAUUGUUUUAAAGCAAAAAACAUCCACACAACUCCCAAAUGUUUAUCCACUAAAAAAUACAAAGGUUAUAAACAUCAUCUAAUUUUUAUGGACAUAUCCAUGAUAAGGAGGUAAUUCUUAUUAUGUCUAUUUUCAGGCCAGCUAAGAGUCUUUAAAAAAACAAAACAAAAAAAAAAAAAAAAAACCAAUAUAUUGUCCUUUUUUUGUAUUUAAAAAACAAUGAUAAAUAAAUUAAAAAAAAAAGAGGCUACAAGAUUAUCUGCUACAAAUGUGGUUUUGCAAAGCCUAUCAUUUUUAAGUGUAUUGUAGUGGCCGGUAAACAAGGUACACUUUUGAAGUCAGCAAAUUUCUAUACAGUUUUUGUUUGGUCUUGCAGAGUCUCUAACCAUUUCUAAGCUGUUGUUAUCUGACACCUUUCAUUUGGUGAUCCUUGAAGAAGGGUGUUAAUGACUAGUUUCAGGGGAUUGUCUUCUCAACACAAAGUCUGUAGUUAUGAUUCUGUAUCUCUCCACCAACCAACAUAUGUAAACCAAUUUAUAUGUAAAAUACC
Sarcophilus harrisii (Tasmanian devil) is the source of this 1977-nucleotide long non-coding RNA. The record is from Ensembl. NCBI's taxonomy places the organism in Eukaryota, Metazoa, Chordata, Mammalia, Dasyuromorphia, Dasyuridae.